Molecule: ribosomal RNA, 492 nt
Filed under: uncultured bacterium
Lineage: Bacteria
Description: bacterial SSU rRNA
Rfam family: Bacterial small subunit ribosomal RNA
Source: RNAcentral
AACGCUGGCGGCGUGCUUAACACAUGCAAGUCGAACGAGAAUCUAAUGAUGGAGUUUUCGGACAACUGAUUUAGAGGACAGUGGCGGACUGGUGAGUAACGCGUAGGCAACCUGCCCUUUAGUUGGGGACAACAUCCCGAAAGGGGUGCUAAUACCGAAUGUGAUCGCUCUUCCGCAUGGAAGAGCGAUGAAAGAUGGCCUCUAUUUAUAAGCUAUCGCUAAAGGAUGGGCCUGCGUCUGAUUAGCUAGUUGGUGGGGUAACGGCCUACCAAGGCGAUGAUCAGUAGCCGGUCUGAGAGGAUGAACGGCCACAUUGGAACUGAGACACGGCCCAGACUCCUACGGGAGGCGGCAGUGGGGAAUAUUGGGCAAUGGACGCAAGUCUGACCCAGCAACGCCGCGUGAAGGAAGAAGGCUUUCGGGUUGUAAACUUCUUUUGUCAGGGAAGAGUAGAAGACGGUACCUGACGAAUAAGCCACGGCUAACUACGUG